RNAcentral lists this ribosomal RNA (253 nucleotides) under uncultured bacterium. RNAcentral describes it as "partial 16S ribosomal RNA". It matches the Rfam family "Bacterial small subunit ribosomal RNA", at positions 524 to 776 of the family's 1533-position model. The record is from RNAcentral.
UACGUAGGGUGCGAGCGUUGUCCGGAAUUAUUGGGCGUAAAGAGCUCGUAGGUGGUCUGUCACGUCGGAUGUGAAAACUCGGGGCUCAACCCCGAGCCUGCAUUCGAUACGGGCAGGCUCGAGUUCGGUAGGGGAGACUGGAAUUCCUGGUGUAGCGGUGAAAUGCGCAGAUAUCAGGAGGAACACCGAUGGCGAAGGCAGGUCUCUGGGCCGAUACUGACGCUGAGGAGCGAAAGCGUGGGGAGCGAACAGG